AUCUGGUAUUGAAUUUGGAAUCUGUCUGUGUAGGAUAGGUGGGAGACUAUGAAGGCAGGGCGUUAGCCUUGCUGGAGUCAACGGUGAAAUACCACCCUUUUAGUUUUUAGAUUCUAACUUUGUCCUCUGAAUCGAGGCAAGGAACAGUGCCAGAUGGGCAGUUUGACUGGGGCGGUUCCCUUCUAAAAUGUAACGACGGGGUCCAAAGGUCUCCUCAAGACGGUCGGCAAUCGUCUGUAGAGUGCAAAGGCAUAAGGAGGCUUGACUGUGAGUCCGAUAGGACGAACAGGUACGAAAGUAGGGCUUAGUGAUCCGGUGGUACAAAAUGGGAUGGCCAUCGCUCAACAAACAAUAGGUACUCUGGGGAUAACAGGCUGAUCGCGCUCGAGAGUUCAUAUCGACAGCGCGGAUUGGCACCUCGAUGUCGGCUUAUCGUAUCCUGGGGCUGUACAAGGUCCCAAGGGUCCGGCUGUUCGCCGGUUAAAACGGUACAUGAGCUGGGUUUAGAACGUCGUGAGACAGUUCGGUCUCUAUCUGGUGUGGGCGCACGAUAUUUGAAGAGGCUUUCUCCCUAGUACGAGAGGACCAGGAGAAACGAACCUCUGGUGUUCCAGUUAUCCUGCCAAGGGUAUUCGCUGGGUAGCCACGUUCGGGAAGGAUAAGCACUGAAAGCAUAUAAGUGCGAAGCUUACCUCAAGAUUAGAUAUCGUUUUUCGCAAGAAAUGAAGACACCUUGUAGACUACGAGGUUGAUAGGCUGCGAGUGUAAGGCCCGCGAGGGUUUUAGCUGAGCAGUACUAAUCUGUCGAAUGCUUGACUAU
RNAcentral lists this ribosomal RNA (820 nucleotides) under Candidatus Omnitrophota bacterium. RNAcentral's name for it is "partial 23S ribosomal RNA". It matches the Rfam family "Bacterial large subunit ribosomal RNA", at positions 2109 to 2925 of the family's 2925-position model. Lineage: Bacteria; Pseudomonadati; Candidatus Omnitrophota. The record is from RNAcentral.